CAGACAUCAUGAUCUGAUCCAUAGCAAGACCCAUUUCAAUCCUUCAAAUCGUUUCUUUUUUCUUUCGUUUUCUUUUAUUGUAAAUCCCAAGAAAAUAAUUAGGACUAGAGUUUGAUGUCAAUCCUUCUAAUCAUCUGAUGCAAACAAAACAAUUCUUUGUAAUGUGGUGUAAUACGGCAUUGAGGGAGAUCCCAUCAUGUGGCUUACCUUAUUAAUCUUAUAAUGUUUUUUUUAAGUCGAAGCCAAUCAUCAUUUCUUUUCGUGUUGAAAAAUAUUUUUAUUCAAAAAUAUCAGUUGUUCACAAAAAAAAAAAAAUAAAAAAAUCAAUGUUCUAAAAACGCCGCAUCCGUUUAGACGACCAAUCAGUCAACCGAAACAAUUUUCGUAAAUCUAUUUUAAUUGUCUUAAAGCGGUUUAAAACGUCUAAAAGUUAGUUUAAAUCGGUCUAAAUCAGUCUAAGUGAAUCUAUAUAAAUUAAAUUAAAUACUAUCAAAGUGGAUUAAUUAUGGCUAAUUUAUUUAUAUUAUUUGUACCACCAGUUUGUCUAUCAAGUGGUGAUAUUUUCUUUUCGCUCUAAAUUUUUUUUGGUGUAAGUUGACAAAUUUGUCUGAGUUAUUUUUGUGUAAAUAAUUUUUUAUAUUUCAUUAACCAAAAAAAUAAAAAAUAUCUAAUAUAUAAAUUGUAUAAUAAAUAAUUUUUUUUGUUAAUGCCUAUUGCCUAGGGCUUUGAUGAAUCUGACUAAACACUAAUAAAUUACAAAGUUUAGUUACCGUCAAAUGAUAUUUUGAACUUUAUUAUUUAAUUAAUUAAUUAAUAUCAUAAUUUACUAAAAAAUAUUAAUUGGCAAGAAAUAAAUAAUUUCACAGACACCAAUUUCGAACCAAGGUAAUGAAUAAACAACAUAAAAUGCCAAAAGGAUGUUACCUUCUUUUCUCCCAAAGUAUUUUAUUUUUUUUGACCAUCUUCUGUAUAUUCAUAACAUUCAAAGAAAAGCUAUUAGAAUUCUGUAUUUCUAUCUAUUGAUCAAAUUUCAAAACAACAAAAUAAACAAGAUGAAACGACACUUUGGUCCCAAUUGGGGAUUAGGUUGUUGAGACUUUUAUUCCUUAUGAAGUUUCUACGGAAAAUAUUUAACCAAUCAAACUUUUUUGAUUCGUUCACGUUAUAUAAAAACCAACAUUUAAUGGCUUAUGUUUUUUUUUUUGCUAAAAUUUUGGUGCAUUAAACUAAAAUAAGAGUGGUAAGAGUACAAGGUUUGAUUUUCGCUUAUGACACUAGUAGAUAGAAAUGUUGAGGCCUUGUGGCGAUGAAGUUUUCUGGUUGCGCAAAGGACCAAAGUUUAGAUCCAUAUGUCGCCGAUUGCUGAACCGCCGUAGUGAAAGUUUUCAGCUGGCGUGUAGACCCAAAGUUGACAAGGUGUCGCUGAUAUAUGUUAUGGAUUUUACAAAUUUUUAGCCAUAGUUUAAUUUUCUUUAAAAUAUGUAUAUAUAUAUAUAUAUAUUAUAUAUGUUUGAAGUCCAUUUCAACAUUUUUUUCAGAUCUAAGAGGCUUCUUGUGGAGAUUAUGAAGGAUUUUGAAACUUAAAAAUGAAGAAGUUCGUAUCUGUUCAAAGAACUCAGAAACAAGAUAUAUAACGAGUGUUGAUCGAUACUAUCCUUUGUGGCGAUCAACAACCGCGCAAAACAGACCAAAUUUAUUUUUCGUAAUUAGGCUUGUGCACAAAUUACAAAAUUACUCCUGGCUGACUUUAUAUCAAGUAUUUAUGGUUUUUAAACCAUUCUUUAGGGUAAGAUGUUUUUUUCCAAUAAAUUUAUUUAGAAGCUUUAUAGUUUGAAGAGAAGAUCAAGACUUAUUCAGAGUUUUGUACUUGAAAUCAAAUAUCUCUUACUCUAUCUAUUUAUACAAUUCAUGUGAUUCAAAAAGCUCUAACGCUAGAAGCCGCCAAUACUCCUAGAAGAAUGAUAAGUGUAAUGGCACAAGAUGAGUAUGGUGUUUACAGAGAUCAAGAGGGGAACACAUGAGCUAAUGAUGGGAGAAUCAUAAAUGUUUCUAAGGCUGAUAUAGUAGAGAUUUUUGAGAGUGCUGAAAGUGUAGGAAGACAUUUUCUAAGCCUACCACAUUAUGUGUAAUGUAUGAAGCUGGGUUGUCCUAAAUCUUGCUAUUGGGACCCACCUGAAUUUACCAGGAGAGAUCAUGUUGAAGAGAUGAUUGCUGAAGUUGUUACAGCCCCAGAGUUGAUUGUUUGUACAAAUUUUAGUCGACUAGAAAGAGAGAACUCGAAGGUGGGAUGAACAAAGACGUUUUAUUAGAUCGGACAAAAAGGUUACAAGAGCGGUUAAGAGAUUGAGGCGUUAAGCCGGUCCUCGGAGAGCUAACCGGGAAAGUACAAAGCGGUGAGAGAUAAAGAGAGACUAAAACCCUAGAUAUAGCCACUCAGUAUGUAUGUCAAAUUAUGGAUCCAUUUCUUGUUGUUUCCUCCUUUCCUUUUAUAAGCCUCUUCUUCUCAUUUUCCCUAAUCUGAGUACGCCUUAUUGGGCCUUGCCUUGUGAAAGCCGAGUACAUGGGCUUUUGAGGAUUCUCUUUAAGCCCGAUGCUUUUAGUCGACUUCACCAUCGGCUAAAAGCAUUAUGGGGCUGAGCCGACAGUUCUACUCGCCGAGCCGAGUAGACUCCUUGCUUGGCAGGCUAGACAUUAUUAUUUGAUAGGACUUGUGGAAGGAUGUAAUCCAUCUCCUACAAUAAGUCCCCCCUAGUUCACUUGUGAGAAGCGUAGCGGUCUCAGUGAAUUUGUGGGUUAGGUUCGAUCGGAUAAUAAGAUCUAGCAUGAGAGAUGCUCAGUCUUUCGUCGGUCGGGUAGAAAUGAUUGUGAAGGCGUAUCUACCUGCUAGAGUUGAAGUAGCACCUUGGGAACAUAUCUACUUGUCUUUCAUGAUCUCCGCAAGGCGCAGUUGGUCGCCUUUCGUUGGUCGAGUAGAGAGCGGUUGUCAAGAUACGUUUACUUGAAACUUGCUGUUUCUGUGAUAGAAAGCUCGUUUAGUCGUCCCUCGUUUGUUUAGGACUGGCACAGCUAGGUUUUGGUCGCCGGUCGCCUCCCUUAGUGGUUUGGUCUUUGCGGUGGUCAAUCGUUAACCAUUUGCUGUUAGAAUCCGGUUUAAGUGUGAACCGGAAAUUGAUUUGGGUUUGACUACAAACCGGGAACCGGUUUGCACGAGAAGCCAAACCGUCGCGAGUAGAUUAUUGGGUAUGUAGACCAGCCCUGGAGGCCCAUUUGGGAAGCGUGCCUUCGUCUUUACUAUAAAUAGGCCACUUCCCUUCGCUUUCGUCAUUCUUCUCUGCAGAUCCAGGUACCCGUUUUUUCUCUCCCUUCUCUCUACUCUCUUUUUUUUUUGUUUCUCUCUCAAAGUUCAUAUUCGGGUAAGUCAGCGUCCCGAUUGUCGGUCUGUUCGUCCCCGGAACAGAAAACAUGCCUCCGAAAAGCCGACUAUUACGCGAGGAGAAAGGAAAUGCAAUUGUUACUGCUCCGAGUCCGACUAAAGACACGACGGCGAAUCGUAGCCCAUUGGAUGAAUUCGACCUAGUCCAUCGUGACGCUUUGCGGGAUACAGAGAAUAUGAGUUUGUCUCAGCGACUAUUAGUCGCCGAUUCCCAUAGGCAGAUUCGCGAGGAAGAUUCCAGUCGGAUCAAAGUUAGCGAGGAUAGCAAUGCGAGUUAAAGUAGGAGUAGUGGGAGCGAUGGUCGUGGGGACCGGGGUGACGGCCGAAGAAGUUCAGAGGGUGAUGGUUCUGAAGCAUCAGGCCAGGUUCUGAGGCCUUCGAGAAGGGUUCGUCGGAGGUUUCAUUUCGAUCAGAUAGACUGCCGGCCUACGAUCUAUCAUCCUGGUGGGAUCUUUGAGGAGCUCCCUCCGCUUCCGCCUGAGGCGUUGCGAGACCCGUGGGCUGAAGGACAAUCUUGGAAGAACACGUUCGGCACUUGCUCCUCUCACAAGACUGUGAAGGACUUGUUGAGGCGGUACAGAGGUGCUGGCAUUAAAUACAUCAUUCCUUCUGUGGAGCAGCGACCCUGGUCGCCUCCGGUUGGCUACUUCCUAUGUGUUCCGUCGGGAUAUUGCGAUCAGCCAGUUACUGAACGGAUCGCUGCGCAUAGCCAUUAUGCUGAUAGUAUUGGCUGCGGAGAUAGAUGUCUCGAUGAGCGUGAGACUAUUCAAGGAGUUGACUUUUACAAAGGCCGAGCCGAACGGGUUGUUCUCGGUGAAAAUACGUUCGAACUACUGUUGGGGUCAAAAUUGGUUGCGAUGGAUCAACGUCAGAAAAAACGUCUGAGAAAAAUUUCUCUUCAUUAAAGAAAAAUGAAGUUGGGAAAGAACGGAAAAAACUAUCAGAGAUCUAAAGAUAAUUUCGUCGAAACAAACAAACUUGAUCGUCAAACACGGAUUCAGCUCGGCCGUUCACCGAGCUGGACCAGUCCAGCACCGGAUUCAGUUCGGCGAACGGCCGUGCUGGAUCAAACCGGAACCCGUCUUCACCUCGAACUCGUAACUCCUCUCCCAAGCCUGCAUCAAACUCAUUCUUGUUUUGUUUCGAUCGGAGGCAUCGUUGGAACUUUACUAUUUAAGAAACUGCAGGAACUCGUCUUUUCUUUAAGGAUAUUCGGAUUGAUCGUAUAAAACGGCAACAAUCAAACUAAGCACCUCGAAUUGCCUACGCUAUAUGAGAAAUUAGAAUGUUCCUUAAAAUCGACGUCCUUUUCGAAAGCGCUCUUUGUAUAAAAUCGUAAAGACGUCUAAGUCGGAAAAUGGCCCAAACGAGGCCGGAUGGUGGCUAAGAGGUCACUUACGAUUUUAUAGAAAUCAAGCCCAAUUGUUAUGACAGUUUAUCUUUUGUUAUGCAGGAAAAGAUAAAUGUCGAGUUUCUGAAGAUAAAUGUCAAGUUUCCGAAGAUGAAUACCAAGAUCGAAGGAAAAUGGAAUAUUUCCGCAAAGCGAUAAACUUGACCGGGGGCAGGAAGGGAAAAAGGUAAACCGCCUUAGAGGGAGUAUAUAAGGAGAUCGAGGCUGAAGGGGGGCCAUUGUUGAAAGAUAGGAGAAUGUUUACACGGAUUGUGGAUCCGAAUCUAAAAGGGAAUUACCCAUUAAAAGGAUUGCAUCAAGCUCUAGCAAUUGCGACAAUGUGUUUGCAAGAAGAAGCAGAGACUAGGCCAUUCAUGGGAGAUGUGGUCACAGCACUAGAGUUCUUGGCUAGGCCUAUAGAGGUUGUUGAUGAUACUACUAAUACUGACACUACUACUCCUGCUCCUGUUUCUGUUACUCAGACAUCAUGAUCUGAUCCAUAGCAAGACCCAUUUCAAUCCUUCAAAUCGUUUCUUUUUUCUUUCGUUUUCUUUUAUUGUAAAUCCCAAGAAAAUAAUUAGGACUAGAGUUUGAUGUCAAUCCUUCUAAUCAUCUGAUGCAAACAAAACAAUUCUUUGUAAUGUGGUGUAAUACGGCAUUGAGGGAGAUCCCAUCAUGUGGCUUACCUUAUUAAUCUUAUAAUGUUUUUUUUAAGUCGAAGCCAAUCAUCAUUUCUUUUCGUGUUGAAAAUUAUUUUUAUUCAAAAAUAUCAGUUGUUCACAAAAAAAAAAAAUAAAAAAAUCAAUGUUCUAAAAACGCCGCAUCCGUUUAGACGACCAAUCAGUCAACCGAAACAAUUUUCGUAAAUCUAUUUUAAUUGUCUUAAAGCGGUUUAAAACGUCUAAAAGUUAGUUUAAAUCGGUCUAAAUCAGUCUAAGUGAAUCUAUAUAAAUUAAAUUAAAUACUAUCAAAGUGGAUUAAUU
RNAcentral lists this long non-coding RNA (5806 nucleotides) under Brassica rapa (field mustard). RNAcentral describes it as "long non-coding RNA (BRAP_LNC002530)". The record is from RNAcentral. Lineage: Eukaryota; Viridiplantae; Streptophyta; Magnoliopsida; Brassicales; Brassicaceae.